RNAcentral lists this long non-coding RNA (416 nucleotides) under Chinchilla lanigera (long-tailed chinchilla). Its description in RNAcentral is "lncRNA (ENSCLAG00000024154.1)". Lineage: Eukaryota; Metazoa; Chordata; Mammalia; Rodentia; Chinchillidae. The record is from RNAcentral.
GCUCGGGAACUUGCCCUUGGUGCGCCUGUCGACAGCUCAGCUGCCGAACCAGCCCCUGGUCCUGCCUCUACCCCAGCCGGUUAGGUAGGACUUCCCGGGUACUCGGCGCCUGCUUCUCUGACUUUUUGCAGAUCUCGUCGGCGGGAGCACAGUCUUUAGUUCGCAGGGUCACAGAAACAGCAGCAUCGCUCAUUCUCAACCACGCCGGGUUUGCACCUGCCACGCUGGACUCAAAAUGCCCUUCCCAGGCGCUCGAAAUUGCUGUCCAGGACCGUGCCCUCCUGCUACCCCGCCGAGGAUUCUCUGUUGGGAAAACCACAGACAUGGUUGAGGUCCAGAAAUGACCUGUAAUCUGAAGAAUGUUUGGUCACAUGCCCAGGCAUUGGAGGAGUGGCAAACUACACAUCUCUGACUGG